GGAUGUGAGGGUGAUCUGACGGUGACAUCUGUCACCCCAUUGAUCCCUAAUAUCAAUUUGGCUGAUCUGCCUGACUAGGCUGGUGUCCCCUCCUCCAUCACUGCCCCUUAUGCAUCCCUCUGGAAGCUGCACACUCGGUCAGUAGAAGAAGACGACCUUCCCCAAUAUAGGAGAAUUGUUCUUCAUGCAAGGGUAUAGGAGUAGCUGUGUUGCCCUGCUAGAACCUCCAAAUAAGCUCUCAAGGUCCAUGUGUAGAGAACUUAGGGUAGUCAACAUUCCAAGAGUCCACACAUAUCCAAAUAAGGCUCUGCAGGUGGCAGUCCACCUUUCUUU
Molecule: small nuclear RNA, 333 nt
Filed under: Ailuropoda melanoleuca (giant panda)
Lineage: Eukaryota; Metazoa; Chordata; Mammalia; Carnivora; Ursidae
Description: 7SK RNA
Rfam family: 7SK RNA
About the family: 7SK was discovered as an abundant small nuclear RNA in the mid-70s but a possible function has only recently been suggested. Two independent studies have found that 7SK RNA binds the CDK9/cyclin T complex (known as elongation factor P-TEFb).
Source: Rfam by way of RNAcentral